RNAcentral lists this ribosomal RNA (253 nucleotides) under uncultured bacterium. RNAcentral describes it as "partial 16S ribosomal RNA". It matches the Rfam family "Bacterial small subunit ribosomal RNA", at positions 524 to 776 of the family's 1533-position model. The record is from RNAcentral.
UACGGGGGGGGCAAGCGUUGUUCGGAAUUACUGGACGUAAAGGGCUCGUAGGUGGCCAACUAAGUCAGACGUGAAAUCCCUCGGCUUAACCGGGGAACUGCGUCUGAUACUGGAUGGCUUGAGAUUGGGAGAGGGAUGCGGAAUUCCAGGUGUAGCGGUGAAAUGCGUAGAUAUCGGGAGGAACAUCAGUGGCGAAGGCGGCUGCCUGGCCCAAUACUGACGCUGAGGCGCGAAAGCUAGGGGAGCAAACAGG